Molecule: ribosomal RNA, 514 nt
Filed under: bacterium enrichment culture clone ALO1_GLFRUDD03GF34N
Lineage: Bacteria
Description: bacterial SSU rRNA
Rfam family: Bacterial small subunit ribosomal RNA
Source: RNAcentral
GAGUUUGAUCCUGGCUCAGAUUGAACGCUGGCGGCAGGCCUAACACAUGCAAGUCGAGCGGAUGACGGGAGCUUGCUCCUUGAUUCAGCGGCGGACGGGUGAGUAAUGCCUAGGAAUCUGCCUGGUAGUGGGGGACAACGUUUCGAAAGGAACGCUAAUACCGCAUACGUCCUACGGGAGAAAGCAGGGGACCUUCGGGCCUUGCGCUAUCAGAUGAGCCUAGGUCGGAUUAGCUAGUUGGUGGGGUAAUGGCUCACCAAGGCGACGAUCCGUAACUGGUCUGAGAGGAUGAUCAGUCACACUGGAACUGAGACACGGUCCAGACUCCUACGGGAGGCAGCAGUGGGGAAUAUUGGACAAUGGGCGAAAGCCUGAUCCAGCCAUGCCGCGUGUGUGAAGAAGGUCUUCGGAUUGUAAAGCACUUUAAGUUGGGAGGAAGGGCAGUAAGUUAAUACCUUGCUGUUUUGACGUUACCGACAGAAUAAGCACCGGCUAACUCUGUGCCAGCCGCCGC